RNAcentral lists this long non-coding RNA (480 nucleotides) under Rhinopithecus roxellana (golden snub-nosed monkey). RNAcentral describes it as "lncRNA (ENSRROG00000045974.1)". The record is from RNAcentral. Lineage: Eukaryota; Metazoa; Chordata; Mammalia; Primates; Cercopithecidae.
CCAGCGUUCCCGCCCCUUCCGUGUGCACAUGGAGGCCGGGGUGGGGCGGGGCAGGCGCAGCCCGGGCUGAGCUUGCAGGGCCGCUUCACUCACCCAACCUCUUCGAGUCCUCCGCGGGCUCCGCCCCACCCGGCCCGUGAGGGAGGUUCUGUCCCGCAGCCUUCGCCCGCGAGCUGCUCUCGGGGAUGGUUCCCGCUCGCGUUGGGCGCACCUCGGCGCGCUGGGCUGCGCUGGCGCUGCUGCUCCUCGGCCUGCUCCGCCCUCUGGUGGCCGCCCCUGGUGACCCCCAGCACCGCCUGAUCCCCCAAACCAAAGCCAGAUCCAAGCCCCAACCGACCUGGUUUCACUGGUAAGAGCCUCUAACCCUACGGGUGGUCUCUAUGUCGUUUACCUGGCAGUGAUGUUUGUGUCAUCUGAGAAGAGGAGAUUUCAGGUGAGCCUGUUCCUGCCGUUGAACUACAAGGUGAUUGCAUUGCUCAA